This 404-nucleotide ribosomal RNA is filed under the name uncultured bacterium. RNAcentral's name for it is "bacterial SSU rRNA". It matches the Rfam family "Bacterial small subunit ribosomal RNA", at positions 1026 to 1434 of the family's 1533-position model. The record is from RNAcentral.
AUCGGAACACAGGUGCUGCAUGGCUGUCGUCAGCUCGUGUCGUGAGAUGUUGGGUUAAGUCCCGCAACGAGCGCAACCCUUGUCCCUAGUUGCUACGCAAGGGCACUCUAGGGAGACUGCCGGUGACAAACCGGAGGAAGGUGGGGAUGACGUCAAGUCCUCAUGGCCCUUAUGGGUAGGGCUUCACACGUCAUACAAUGGCCGGUACAGAGGGUUGCCAAAGCGCGAGCUGGAGCCAAUCCCCAUAAAAGCCGGUCGUAGUCCGGAUUGCAGUCUGCAACUCGACUGCAUGAAGUCGGAAUCGCUAGUAAUCGCGGAUCAGCAUGUCGCGGUGAAUACGUUCCCGGGCCUUGUACACACCGCCCGUCACACCAUGGGAGUUGGUUCUACCCGAAGGCGCUGCG